UACGGCCCCCAUAUAUUCCGUCGCUGCAGUUCCUUCCAAAUUGUAGUCUUUUUCUAAAUUUCUUUAAACUUCAAGGAUGAGCCAGGAACGGCCACGGAGGCCUCGCGAUGAGAGAGAUUUUAUUUGCGUUGGGGUGCGACCUUGAAGUUGGUAAGGGACAAGGUAGCAACUUAGUAGGACGCUGAAGGAGUGCUAAGUGGUGUGAAGCUAAGGAGCAAUACAAAUAUGGCAACCCAGCCAGGAGGAGUGGCAGUGUCAAAGCACUCUCAUUGGAUUAUGCAAAUGCAAAUCUAAUGGGGGUGCUUGGCUAAUAGAGUUUUAAAAUAUGUUGCAUUGGAUUAUGUAAAUAUAAAAGGGGAUGACUUUUGCUACAGUAAGUUAGUGUUGUAGGUCAAAUUUGAUAGUUAUUGUAGUAUGGUUAAAAAGAAUAAAAAAGAUUUUCUUCCUUACUUCCUAAAA
Molecule: long non-coding RNA, 459 nt
Organism: Carya illinoinensis
Lineage: Eukaryota; Viridiplantae; Streptophyta; Magnoliopsida; Fagales; Juglandaceae
Exons: 2
Source: RefSeq, a predicted model, not a curated record